Molecule: transfer RNA, 89 nt
Filed under: Danio rerio (zebrafish)
Lineage: Eukaryota; Metazoa; Chordata; Actinopteri; Cypriniformes; Danionidae
Rfam family: tRNA
About the family: Transfer RNA (tRNA) molecules are approximately 80 nucleotides in length. Their secondary structure includes four short double-helical elements and three loops (D, anti-codon, and T loops).
Source: Rfam by way of RNAcentral
GGCUCUGUGGCGCAAUGGAUAGCGCAUUGGACUUCUAGGCUGUGAGCUGAGCCAUUCAAAGGUUGUGGGUUGGAGUCCCACCAGAGUCG